GGGCGAUUGGCGCAGGGGGAGCGCGCUUCCCUGACACGGAAGAGGCCACAAGUUCAAAUCUUGUAUCGCCCACCA
Molecule: transfer RNA, 75 nt
Filed under: Atopobium deltae
Lineage: Bacteria; Bacillati; Actinomycetota; Coriobacteriia; Coriobacteriales; Atopobiaceae
Description: tRNA-Val
Rfam family: tRNA
About the family: Transfer RNA (tRNA) molecules are approximately 80 nucleotides in length.
Source: RNAcentral